This 341-nucleotide ribosomal RNA is filed under the name uncultured beta proteobacterium. Its description in RNAcentral is "bacterial SSU rRNA". It matches the Rfam family "Bacterial small subunit ribosomal RNA", at positions 536 to 877 of the family's 1533-position model. Lineage: Bacteria; Pseudomonadati; Pseudomonadota; Betaproteobacteria. The record is from RNAcentral.
CAGCGUUAUCGGAUUACUGGGCGUAAAGGGUGCGCAGGCGGUUUUGUAAGUCAGAUGUGAAAUCCCCGAGCUCAACUUGGGAACUGCGUUUGAAACUGUAAGACUAGAGUGUGUCAGAGGGGGGUAGAAUUCCACGUGUAGCAGUGAAAUGCGUAGAUAUGUGGAGGAAYACCAAUGGCGAAGGCAGCYCCCUGGGAUAACACUGACGCUCAUGCACGAAAGCGUGGGGAGCAAACAGGAUUAGAUACCCUGGUAGUCCACGCCCUAAACGAUGUCUACUAGUUGUUGGUGGAGUAAAAUCCAUGAGUAACGCAGCUAACGCGUGAAGUAGACCGCCUGGG